Molecule: ribosomal RNA, 303 nt
Filed under: uncultured bacterium
Lineage: Bacteria
Description: bacterial SSU rRNA
Rfam family: Bacterial small subunit ribosomal RNA
Source: RNAcentral
UGAGGAAUAUUGGUCAAUGGCCGGAAGGCUGAACCAGCCAAGUCGCGUGAGGGAAUAAGGCCCUACGGGUCGUAAACCUCUUUUGUCAGGGAGCAAGGCCGUCCACGAGUGGACGGAAGGAGAGUACCUGAAGAAAAAGCAUCGGCUAACUCCGUGCCAGCAGCCGCGGUAAUACGGAGGAUGCGAGCGUUAUCCGGAUUUAUUGGGUUUAAAGGGUGCGUAGGCGGCCUGCCAAGUCAGCGGUAAAAUUGCGGGGCUCAACCCCGUAGAGCCGUUGAAACUGCCGGGCUCGAGUGGGCGAGA